This 486-nucleotide ribosomal RNA is filed under the name Dialister invisus. Its description in RNAcentral is "bacterial SSU rRNA". It matches the Rfam family "Bacterial small subunit ribosomal RNA", at positions 28 to 486 of the family's 1533-position model. The record is from RNAcentral. Lineage: Bacteria; Bacillati; Bacillota; Negativicutes; Veillonellales; Veillonellaceae.
GACGAACGCUGCGGCGUGCUUAACACAUGCAAGUCGACGAAAGACGGAAAGAGCUUGCUCUUUUCAGAAUUGAUUGCCAAACGGUUGGUAACACGUAAACAAACCUGCUUUCAGGAUGGGGACAACAGACGGAAACGACUGCUAAUACCGAAUAAGUUCCAAGGCCGCAUGGCCCAUGGAAGAAAAGGUGGCCUCUACCUGUAAGCUAUCGCCUGAAGAGGGGUUUGCGUCUGAUUAGCUGGUUGGAGGGGUAACGGCCCACCAAGGCGACGAUCAGUAGCCGGUCUGAGAGGAUGAACGGCCACACUGGAACUGAGACACGGUCCAGACUCCUACGGGAGGCAGCAGUGGGGAUCUUCCGCAAUGGGCGAAAGCCUGACGGAGCAACGCCGCGUGAGUGAUGACGGCCUUCGGGUUGUAAAACUCUGUGAUCCCGGGACGAAAAGGCAGAGUGCGAAGAACAAACUGCAUUGACGUACCGAAAAG